AUAGCGUAUAUUAAAGUUGUUGCAGUUAAAAAGCUCGUAGUUGAACCUUGGGCCUGGCUGGCCGGUCCGCCUCACCGCGUGCACUGGUCCGGCCGGGCCUUUCCUUCUGGGGAGCCGCAUGCCCUUCACUGGGUGUGUCGGGGAACCAGGACUUUUACUUUGAAAAAAUUAGAGUGUUCAAAGCAGGCCUUUGCUCGGAUACAUUAGCAUGGAAUAAUAGAAUAGGACGUGCGGUCCUAUUUUGUUGGUUUCUAGAACCGCCGUAAUGAUUAAUAGGGAUAGUCGGGGGCAUCAGUAUUCAAUUGUCAGAGGUGAAAUUCUUGGAUUUAUUGAAGACUAACUAUUG
RNAcentral lists this ribosomal RNA (346 nucleotides) under uncultured eukaryote. RNAcentral describes it as "SSU rRNA". It matches the Rfam family "Eukaryotic small subunit ribosomal RNA", at positions 594 to 945 of the family's 1831-position model. The record is from RNAcentral.